CUGCUGCCUCCCGUAGGAGUCUGGGCCGUGUCUCAGUCCCAGUGUGGCCGUCCACCCUCUCAGGCCGGCUGCUGAUCGUCGCUUUGGUGGGCCGUUACCCCGCCAACUGGCUAAUCAGACGCGGGCCCAUCCUGUAUCACCGGAGUUUUCAAAGGAUUACCAUGCGGUAUUCCCUAUUAUGCGGUAUUAGCACCUAUUUCUAAGUGUUAUCCCCCGGUACAGGGCAGGUUGCCCACGCGUUACUCACCCGUCCGCCACUAAGA
This 263-nucleotide ribosomal RNA is filed under the name uncultured bacterium. Its description in RNAcentral is "partial 16S ribosomal RNA". The record is from RNAcentral.